Podarcis lilfordi (Lilford's wall lizard) is the source of this 146-nucleotide non-coding RNA. Lineage: Eukaryota; Metazoa; Chordata; Lepidosauria; Squamata; Lacertidae. The record is from the annotation of a GenBank genome assembly.
GUGAUAUGUUGAUAUAUCGUCCAAAACCGGUUUGAAUUCCAUAUUGUGAGAUUGGUUUCAAAAAUUUUGCCCGGGCCAUAUAUUGAGAAUUGUGUGUGUGUGUGUGUGUGUGUGUGUGUGUGUGUGUUUGCUAUGCAAAAAUCACA